Molecule: ribosomal RNA, 1294 nt
Filed under: metagenome
Description: bacterial LSU rRNA
Rfam family: Bacterial large subunit ribosomal RNA
Source: RNAcentral
UACUGGUGGGUGAGCAGAUAAUCUGCCAAGGCGCUUGAGAGAACUCGGGUUAAGGAACUCUGCAAAUUGAUACCGUAACUUCGGAAGAAGGUAUGCCUUCGACGGUGUAGGGAUUUACUCCCGAAGCUGUUGAAGGUCGCAGGUAAUCGGUGGCUGCGACUGUUUAUCAAAAACACAGGACUCUGCGAACACGCAAGAGGAAGUAUAGGGUCUGACGCCUGCCCGGUGCCGGAAGGUUAAUUGAUGGGGUUAGCCGCAAGGCGAAGCUCUUGAUCGAAGCCCCGGUAAACGGCGGCCGUAACGAUAACGGUCCUAAGGUAGCGAAAUUCCUUGUCGGGUAAGUUCCGACCUGCACGAAUGGCGUAACGCUGGCCACACUGUCUCGACCCGAGACUCAGUGAAGUUGAAAUCGCUGUGAAGAUGCGGCGUUCCCGCGGCAAGACGGAAAGACCCCGUGAACCUUCACUACAGCUUUACACUGAACUUUGAACCUUUCUGUGUAGGAUAGGUGGGAGGCUAUGAAACUUGGGCGCUAGCUCGAGUGGAGCCAACCUUGAAAUACCACCCUGGGAUGUUUGAAGUUCUAACCUUGGUCCGUAAUCCGGAUUGGGGACAGUGUAUGGUGGGUAGUUUGACUGGGGCGGUCUCCUCCCAAAGAGUAACGGAGGAGUGCAAUGGUACGCUCAGCGCGGUCGGUCAUCGCGCUCUAGAGUGCAAAGGCAUAAGCGUGCUUAACUGUGAGACAGACACGUCGAACAGGUACGAAAGUAGGUCUUAGUGAUCCGGUGGUUCUGUAUGGAAGGGCCAUCGCUCAACGGAUAAAAGGUACUCCGGGGAUAACAGGCUUAUUCCUCCCAAGAGUCCACAUCGACGGAGGAGUUUGGCACCUCGAUGUCGGCUCAUCACAUCCUGGGGCUGUAGCAGGUCCCAAGGGUAUGGCUGUUCGCCAUUUAAAGUGGUACGCGAGCUGGGUUCAGAACGUCGUGAGACAGUUCGGUCCCUAUCUGCCGUGGGCGUUGGAAACUUGAGGGUGAGCUGUCCUUAGUACGAGAGGACCGGGAUGGACGUAUCUCUGGUGUUCCGGUUGUCACGCCAGUGGCACUGCCGGGUAGCUAUAUACGGACGGGAUAAGCGCUGAAAGCAUCUAAGCGCGAAGCCCCCCCCAAGAUUAGGUUUCCCUGGGAACUCGAUUCCCCUAAAGGGCCGUCGGAGACUACGACGUUGAUAGGCUGGGUGUGUAAGUGCAGCAAUGCAUUGAGCUAACCAGUACUAAUUGCCCGUGAGGCUUGACCAA